AGAGUUUGAUUCUGGCUCAGAACGAACGCUGGCGGCGCGUCUUAAGCAUGCAAGUCGAACGGCAAGGCAGGUGCUUGCACCUGCCCUAGAGUGGCGGACUGGUGAGUAACACGUGGGUGACAUGCCUUUUAGUUGGGGAUAGCUACUAGAAAUAGUAGAUAAUACCGAAUGUGAUCAAUAUUUAUAGAUGAUGUUGAGGAAAGGAGCUAAGGCUUCGCUAAAAGAUUGGCCCGCGGCCCAUUAGCUAGUUGGUAGGGUAAAGGCUUACCAAGGCGAUGAUGGGUAUCCGGCCUGAGAGGGUGAUCGGACACAUUGGGACUGAGAUACGGCCCAGACUCCUACGGGAGGCAGCAGCUAAGAAUAUUCCACAAUGGACGAAAGUCUGAUGGAGCGACGCCGCGUGGAUGAUGAAGGCCGAAAGGUUGUAAAAUCCUUUUACACUGGAGGAAUAAGCAGAGUAGGGAAUGACUCUGUGAUGACUGUACAGUUUGAAUAAGCAACGGCUAAUUACGUGCCAGCAGCCGCGGUAACACGUAAGUUGCGAGCGUUGUUCGGAAUUAUUGGGCGUAAAGGGCAUGUAGGCGGAUUUGCAAGCUUGAUGUGAAAUCCCGCAGCUUAACUGCGGAACUGCAUUGGGAACUGCAAGACUAGAGUUACUGAGGGGAAACUAGAAUUCCAAGUGUAGGGGUGAAAUCUGUAGAUAUUUGGAAGAAUACCAAUGGCGAAGGCAAGUUUCUGGCAGAUAACUGACGCUGAGGUGCGAAGGUGCGGGGAGCAAACAGGAUUAGAUACCCUGGUAGUCCGCAC
RNAcentral lists this ribosomal RNA (807 nucleotides) under uncultured bacterium. Its description in RNAcentral is "bacterial SSU rRNA". It matches the Rfam family "Bacterial small subunit ribosomal RNA", at positions 8 to 800 of the family's 1533-position model. The record is from RNAcentral.